Daphnia pulex (common water flea) is the source of this 1444-nucleotide long non-coding RNA. RefSeq lists it as uncharacterized. Lineage: Eukaryota; Metazoa; Arthropoda; Branchiopoda; Diplostraca; Daphniidae. The record is from RefSeq and is a predicted model, not a curated record. The transcript is spliced from 2 exons.
UAAACAAGGUUUUAAACAUAAUUCUUAAACGUUUAAAAAUUAAAUGGUAUUUUACUGACAAGGAAUCAAAUAAAAUUGCUAAAUCCCUCAAUAGCGAACAAAAAAUUAUAAUAAAAGUGGUGCCCCUGCUGACAAGACCCCCCUCGAGAUUUCUAGCUGGAUCCUCUAUUCAUUUUUUUUUUUUCAUUUUCAUUCUUUCAAAAUUUGACAGAAAACUGCGUUUGUUCGCGAAGACUUGGAUUCCCUUAACCUAUAUUCAAUCACGACCACUAGAUGCCACGAUAUGUUUUUUUUUAAUAUUUUUUAUACCAGCCGAUAGAGGGUUGAGGUUGAGGCAGGGAAACUCGCCAAGUAAAGCAAAGUCCAUUUCUUUCCAAUACGCCAAGCUUUGAGGGUAUCUGGGUAUCUGGGGAUUUGACAUUUCUUCGACUUUUAACUUAUUUUAGACUUUUCUCCUUUUCUUUCGGCAUUCAAAUUUUGCUCCAUUGCCAUUCUAAUCCUCAUCCUCGCUGAUGCUACAAUCGGAGAAAGCGUUCGAAAGAUCGCUAUCUUCGUCCGAGGUGUUGUUGUUCCUCGCCUCCAAUGCCAACUCGGCCUUUUUGGCUUUCUUCUUUCGAAGACUUCUUUCGUUUGUGUUCCCGUUCAACUGUGUUUUUUUUGUACAAAUUUUAAUUUUUUAACCGUACAAUGAAAGACAGACACAGUUUAAUUUUUUACAAGUGUUUUUAUUAUCGACAAAACACAGGAAUUGAUACAAUUUUUAAGACUCAAUGAGUCAUCGGCUCCGAAACCAGAUCGAGUUUCUUAGCCGCCUCUUUGAGCGUUUCGACCGCCUUGUCUUGCUUAAUCGAACUCAUGGCCAGAUUUUUCAGGAUCUCUUCUUCCUCUUCCGCCGUGAGUAUGAGCUCUGGCUCUGACUCGGAUUCUCGACACAGUAAUUUUUUGACAUCUGAGUUGUUUCCACUCAUCCUCUUCAACUCUUCUCUUGAAUUUCUCUGCAUUGCUCUGCUCUGCUCCAUAGGCAUCUACUCGUCAUCCUCGUCGAGGCUACAAUCCGAGAAAGCGCUCGAAAGGUCGCUGUCCUCAUCCGAGGUGUUGUUGUUCGCCUCCAAAGCCAACUCGGCCUUUUUGGCUUUCUUGUGUGCACAUUUACAUCUCACAACAUGGUAGAAGCCUCAUUACAGAGGCUUAGCAUCUUUCUCAUCUUGUUAAAUUGCCACUGCACAUCGAGAACAAUCUCCGCCAACCUGUCACAAAAUAAAUUUGAUUAGUUAAAGAAACUUUUCAAAUCAUUAUUAACUAAGGUUCAUGUGUUUGCAAGCUCAAUUCAAGUGCAUCUCAAUUGAAAAAAUUCACAUACCUUAUCACAGAAAAUAUUUGCAAAUAUUGUGUAAUUUUAGUUUACUAAUGUAUGAUAAUUGGUAAUAAAAAAGCUUAAUUUUUA